GAUGAACGCUGGCGGCGUGCCUAAUACAUGCAAGUCGAGCGAACGGACGAGAAGCUUGCUUCUCUGAUGUUAGCGGUGGACGGGUGAGUAACACGUGGAUAACCUACCUAUAAGACUGGGAUAACUUCGGGAAACCGGAGCUAAUACCGGAUGAUAUUUUGAACCGCAUGGUUCAAAAGUGAAAGACGGUCUUGCUGUCACUUAUAGAUGGAUCCGCGCUGCAUUAGCUAGUUGGUAAGGUAACGGCUUACCAAGGCAACGAUGCAUAGCCGACCUGAGAGGGUGAUCGGCCAAACUGGAACUGAGACACGGUCCAGACUCCUACGGGAGGCAGCAGUAGGGAAUCUUCCGCAAUGGGCGAAAGCCUGACGGAGCAACGCCGCGUGAGUGAUGAAGGUCUUCGGAUCGUAAAACUCUGUUAUUAGGGAAGAACAUAUGUGUAAGUAACUGUGCACAUCUUGACGGUACCUAAUCAGAAAGCCACGGCUAACUACGU
This 496-nucleotide ribosomal RNA is filed under the name uncultured bacterium. Its description in RNAcentral is "partial 16S ribosomal RNA". It matches the Rfam family "Bacterial small subunit ribosomal RNA", at positions 28 to 506 of the family's 1533-position model. The record is from RNAcentral.